CUUGUACAGACCAUUGUGGAUGGCGAGGCGGCCAGGGCUCUAUCAGCAAUUGCAGGGACCUCCUUUUGAUGCAUUGGAUGAGGGCAUUGACAUUCAACCAUCGCAAGUCUGUCGCACUCUCGCAGGCAGGAAAAAAAAAUAAAAUCGGAGUGGAUAAUUCUCUUCUUCCUCCUAAAGGGCUCUGAUAGAGCACAAUGCGCCACACACACCGAGCAGCAUGGCUUAUUUUUCGUGCGGCUCCUGCCGCUUUGGCAACAUCGAGCUGGUGUGUGCGUGUGUGCCUUUCUCCCUCAGCAGCCUUCUCUCUGCUCUCCCAUCCGGCUUGCAGUGAUGAUGUUGCUGUUGCUAUCUCCCUUGGAUGCAAUAGGGAAGGCAGAUUGUUUGCAGUGCAAGCGGGGAUUUGCAGGAAGGGAGGGGUGUAACGUGGCUGCGCUCUCCUCCCUCCCCCGGCUUUAAAAAAAAAAUAAAAU
Coturnix japonica (Japanese quail) is the source of this 470-nucleotide long non-coding RNA. RefSeq lists it as uncharacterized. Lineage: Eukaryota; Metazoa; Chordata; Aves; Galliformes; Phasianidae. The record is from RefSeq and is a predicted model, not a curated record.